CUCUGCUAUCCACUUUGAGGGAUCUUCCCAAGGUGCUCGUUUACCAUACAUCUGAAUGUCCACCCCAAAAUAAAAAUCAAGACCAGAAUUCAAAACCCUCUCCACAUAGUAUUAUUAUGGACAUUAUGUGAAAGAAGAAAUGAUAGUUGGCAGCAGCAAGAACUACAUAUGCAAAUUGAAAAUAACAUGCUAAAGUUUUACCUGAAGCCCUUCUCUCACAGCUUCCAUAAUAUAUGGUACCAAGGAAUAAUUCCAGAGAUCUGUGAACCACACCCUGGAACCAUCAACAUCUAUAGGGCAGGGUAGAAAAAGGCGAGGACCUGGAAAAAAAGAUCAUAUUUGUUUUUAAAAUCUGCUAACAAUGUCAUUUAUAAUAUUGUCUAUUCAUUUAAAACAUGAAAAAUAAUAGAAAAUGUUUUUCAUUAUGUUGCUUACAAAGUGUUAGAGUAUGGCUUGUACAAACUACAUUUAUAAAACACAAAUUCCUUCAUAAUUUCUAGUUGGGCUUUGCUUAUGUUGGGAGAAAUAAUAAAUCAUACUUAC
Molecule: long non-coding RNA, 543 nt
Organism: Anolis carolinensis (green anole)
Lineage: Eukaryota; Metazoa; Chordata; Lepidosauria; Squamata; Anolidae
Exons: 2
Source: RefSeq, a predicted model, not a curated record